CGUGCCCCCUAGCUUCUCUUAAUUUAAAUAUAUAGCAAUCCAUACGUGGGCAAGAUGGAAGGCCAAACUCCCUGCUAUUUCCACAAGAAAGAUUUUGCAUUUUCCAGUAGAAAUGAGCCAGACAGACAUCAACAUAAACCCCAGCCCAGCAGCUCAGCACAUCCUGCUGGCUGCGUUUCCCUUCCACAAGCUUAAAAAGCUUUGAAAGUGGGAAACAACCCCCACUGGGUUUCUAGGCGAAGCUCAUCAGCCCUAAAGGCUUCUCCUGCCUUGCUUGUGAAGUGCUCAAAAGCUCACACAGACCAUGCACACCUGGAAAUGCAAAGACCAACGUAACCUAAAUAAUGAAUCUCCUUAGCCCCACAUCUGCGUGCUGCCAGAGCUCUGCAGGGACCCAGCCCUAUGAUGGAACAGGCCCUUAGCACCUUCCCUAGAGGUGGUCAGUGGAUGAAAAAGGUGAAUAAGGUUGAACAAGAUUUGUUUUUUUACUCAGCCUUCUCUUACCAGGCAUAUCGGUCAUUCAGUAAUUUAUGCAGUGUGUCCCAUGGUCAUUAUUCUUCUCCCUGCCGUUCUCUGUUGACAACAGGGAUCAGAGGAGAGAGCUUUAGACCCAGCAUCACACGCACUGUUACAGGUCAUCACUGCAAGCUUUCCCUCAGGAGUUCAAGUGGCAUCCUUUUAACUUCAAAACUACAGUCAAUGGCCAAAGUUUACCCAACAAAACUUGCGAGCUCUGGGCACCCAAAGCUGUUCUCCAAGCAGUUACUCUGGGUGGAGUAUCUCCCCCUGGGGGAGAAUCAGGAGUUACAGUGUGUCAGUUUUGAAGCUUGUAAUUGUAGCUGGGGGAGAAUCCAAGUUUGUGGCUAUUCAGGUGUCACAUGGCCUUUGCUACCAACCCACUGAUCUUUUGGGUAAGUUUGCCAGAUCCAUGAGCACGCACAUGCUGUUGCAAGGUAAUUGCAAAGCUUGAGGCAGCAAGAAAUUCCAAUAAUUCAUGGUUCAGCUCCCAGUUGCCUCCAUCAGACAGAAACAGCUAUCUCAUAGGCAUAAUUUAUUUGCAAGCUUUUCUAGCAUCAAAUGUAUUUCUAGUUAAGGCAAGCCUUAAUGCAAGUUAGUCCAGAUUUAAGCUUACAACAGAAUCCCCAUAGCUCAUUCCUCUGAGGCAGGGCUGUGUCGCUUUGACCACAAAGUUAGGCAGUCUCAGCAGGACUGUGUUCACUUCCUUUUGUUUUUGCAAGAAAUUAACGAAAUUUCUUUGCAGAUAGAGGUUUGAGAAUAAGUCUUACGGGGAGCGGCUGAGUGGGACUGUUCAGUCUGGAGAAUAAGAGGCCCAAGGGAGAUUUUAUUGCUUUCUACAACUCCCUAAAAGGAGGUUGUAGUGAGGUCUUCUUCCAGGUAACUAGUGACAGGACAAAAGGUCAUGGCUUUAAGUUGUGUCAGGGGAGGUUCGAGUUGGAUAUCAGGAAAAAAAUUCUUAGAAAGUAGCAAGGAAUUGGAACAGACUGCACAGGGCAGGGAAGUGGUAGAGUCACCGUCCCUGGAGGUGUUCAAGAGAAGGGCAGAUGUCAAACUGAGUGCAGUGAUUUGGUGGUGUGGUAGUGAUAGGUUGAUGGUUGGACUAGAUGAUCUUAGUGGUCUUUCCAACCUUAAUGAUUCUAUGAUAAUGGAAGCGUAGUCACUCAUUAGAUUCUACCUAAUGGCUUUCUUUGAAAAGGCUGACAAGAUGAGUUUAUUUUGAGGGUGACGAACACUGACAUCUUGCUCAUAUAGCUGUCAAAUUCAGAGCUACAAUUUCCACCUUAGCUAUAUAGAUAAUACGUACAGCUCCAGUGGAAAUAUGGUAAUGCUAUAAGAAAAAGAGCUGUAUCUGGACUAAAAGCCUGUGUUUUCUUCAACCUCUUUAUUUUAUCUUCGUCUGGCAUCAUUCAGAUCAGUUGGACCAAAAUAUUUUAACAGCAUGUUUUGUGGCAAUAGCAUACAAUCACCUUGAUAUAUACUUUUCACUCAAGAGGCUGAGGAAACAUUAACCCUUCUGCAACUUGGGGUUGUGUCUUUUACUACCAAAGCUGGCACUGACUUUGCUGUAUGCAUUAAUGACCCAAUCCUUUUGUCUAGAAGUCUAACAAAGUUUGAGGUUACUUUGCUGUGUUUUACUAAAUACUUUCUGAUUAAGCUGACCCUUGCAUACUUGCACUGAAAGUUUUAGCUGGACUAAAAAUGCUUCUGCGUAUCAGAGCUGCCUGCAGCAGCAUGGAAUUCACAGAAUUAUUGGUUAGCAAAGCUCACAUUCGCUGAUUUAAUCUGGAUCCAGGGCUUAUUUGCUCUUUCUGUAAUCAAGUGAGAAAGUGUCAGAUGUUCUCACAAGAUCUCAGUUUUUCUCAACUCUCAAAUCCAAUAAGAGCUUGAUGGUUUCAAGCCAUGAAGUUUGGAAAGACGUGUCUAAAGUAAAAAAAGUGAACCAAACGAGUUGAAAUGGUUGGAAAGCUUGUUGAAACGUGUGGUUCUGAGGUAUCAAACCUAUUUUUCUUCCCACUCAUUUUACAAGCUUCUAGCCAAGACUAUAGGCCAGAAGCCUCUAAAGGAGGCCAUAAUAGAGACAAGCAGACUUUAUUAGCACUGUGGAUUGAAGCUGUCACCUGAGGCACUUCCUAGCAAAGAUUCUCAAGCCAAGAGCUCUGCUCCAGAUGAAGUGCUUCUGACUUUUUGUUAAUUAACAAAUUAGCUGGGAGCAGAUCUAUUCCCAGGACUGUGUAGUAUUUCCAGCUCCCACAUGCUUGCAUGGAAACCUCAGCUUCAUCUUCAUCAGCUCAGGUCUGAUGGGGCUGCCUGUCCAAGGAGCUGAUUCCUCAGGAAUCAGCGAGUUCAAGACCAGUGCAAGAAAUUUCUGUGAGAAGGUCUGUAGGAGGUGAAAGACUUCCACAUUUGUUAAGUAGCUUUGCAGUGAGCAGUGUGUUUCCCAAUUAAACCCAUUUUGCAGUCUCCACAGGCUUUCAGACAAGGAAAAAACCUUUCCCUCCCAGCUUAUUCUCCCUGACCAAAUCUGAUGCUGGCACAUCAUUCCACAGUGCCUCCUCUCAUCUUUCUUCAUGUGUUCUUGUGAGCUUAAAGCUUGUAAGUCAUAAGACUUUUCUCAGUUAACUAGUUUGGUCAUUGAAUCUGACCACCUGGAUCUGAUGGGGACCUAAUCUUCUAUUGGGCCUUAUCUUCCUUCAUCAUCACUUCUUGGCCUAAACUGCACAGAUCUGUCCCUGCAUACUCACUCGUAGGAGGUAGCUCCAUGGAGUGAAAGAUUUUCAUGGUGACAGGGAGCUUUUCCUACUGUUAGAAACAGCCUUGUCCAUCCUUCCUCCUUCCUCCUACCAGCACUGAUGUGGGAAUGAAGUUUCUGGCACUGCUGCUGAACUGUAGAUUGACUUCAGGUAAAUCGUCUCACAUUAUUUCUUAUCUUUCGUCUAAUCUGCUGGGAUUUUCAGAGUCUUUUGGGGCAAGGAUUGUGAUAUGUCUGGGCAUAUUGAGCUUCAUUAUCACCGUGUAGUUCAAAGCCAGGUCAGAUUCAGCACUUUUUCCAAACUGUGGGAUGGUAAGAUCCAGACUCUUGCAAUUAAAUCAAAUCAAGAAUUUAAGCAUGCCUACAGACAUGAUAUUCUCAGGGGAGCCUUCUUAACCUCCAGUACUACAUACAGGAGUCUUGGGUUGUUCUUUUUCGUUCUUUGAUUGUGUGUGCCUCCACCAUGCACUAAGAAAAAUUGAAAUGAAGCCAUUGUUUUUAUGUAUUCACUCCAUCCUCUCUUCCCUUUUCUUGUUGGCAGCUCCAUCCAUCAGCCUCCCACAAUGGUGAAACUGUUGUUGAGACCUCCAGUGAAUUUGCUCUGUCAAAGAGCAGAAGCCAUGAAAACAGGAGGAAAAAAUAACAGUUUAACAUUGACCACAGCAGGGAUGGAAGUACUGUGCAUGAAGCAUUUUUUGAGGCAGCUUGCUGAAGGUUUUUACUUUCUUGGAAAGAAGGAGCGGGCUGCUUUCAGGCAGGGAACAUGCCUUGGUGCUUCAUGUGAUCUUUCUGCAUCGACCCAAAAAUGAGCAGAAGGCCGGCACUGCAUCCACAUUUCAGGAAGAGGCAUCAGACCUGGCCCAUUGACUUGUGUUGGGAUGAACUCUGCAUUUUCAGCUGUUCUGAGAAGCAUGUAACUUGGAAGCAACUUUUGGGGAGAGGGCUGCAAUUAGUGCUGUGUGGAGCUGAAGAGACUUCUUGAAACACGUGGGUUUAUUUGACAUGUGAAGCAAAACAUGAGAGGAAAACAGCAAGCAGCUGAUAAGCAUCUGUAAUUUAAACAUCAGACUUGUUUGAUGGACUGUGCUCCCCAAUGACAGGAGCAGAACAACCCCAAUCUACGUGCUUUAAUUAAUGCAGAUAAUUAAUACCUCCGAUCUGGAGGCACAGCCUGCUCUCAGUAGGCAUCCCCCAGUAGGACUUUUUCUUGGAAGUGCUUUCCCCAAGCCUGCUGUGUUCAUCUGAGCCCUGUGACCAUAUGUUGCAUUGGCUUUUGUCAGGAGACCCAGCUGUGCAGCCUUUCAUUUGUCACAGACUGCCUUUAGCUUCUUCAGCUUCGGCAUCUAAGCAGCCUGAGAGCUUGCUGCUGCAGGAACAACUCAGUAAACAGAACUAUUUAUCCCCAGUGGUGUUGUAGCGCUGGCACUGCUGCCUAGAGAGGAGGAUGGUACCCCAUCCCUAGAGGCUCCAAAAGCCACGGAUGGGGCCCUGGGCAACCUGAGCUGGUGGUGGGCACCUAGCCUGAGGCAAGGGUUGGGGCUGGAUGGGCUUUAAGGUCCUCUCCAACCUAAGCCAUUCUACGUCUUUCCCUCUGUCACAGGUGAAAGCUCACUCCAUUGGUGGAAAAUGAACAUCAGGAGUAAGAUGCUUCAUUUCAGCUUGUUACCAUUGCAUUAAUUGAAAUGCUCCGCUGAUUUUUUUUUUUAAUCUUUCUUCCAGAACACCUUCAGAGCUUCAUCUGCCUUCAAAAUGGCCAUUGAGAACAAUUUUCAUAUGUCGGCUUUGGAUAAAUUAUAAGCCCCACUUAAACCCAUUCAGUAAUCAUCUGAAUAAUGGUGCAGUGAUUACACAUUUCUCUUUAUUCUCCAGUGUCAGUGUUGAGCAUUGUUAAUCUUUUUAACAGCCUGAAAUUACAGAUAGCCACCAGAAAAUUUUAUUUAGACCAUCUUGGGGCAUAUUUUGAUUAUUGGGGAAAAAAAAAAAGAAAAAGAAAGAACUGUAUUGGAGCUGCCAAACUCUUCAGAAGAUCUGUUCCCAUGAGAUUUCCCAACUUUUUGGUCCAGGUUCAGUUCUCAGUUCUUUUCCAUAUUUUCACUUAGGUAACAAGCACUGGAAAACAGUCCACUGGGAAAUCGUGUGAGAGUGGGUUCAUGUGACAGAUCUUUCUGCAACUUGUCAUGCCACGAAUAGCAGAGCAACAGCCUUUCAGCACUCAACCAUGUCACUGCCUGCAUCACUUUGAUGGAACUGGGGUGAGUGCCUGCUUGUGGAAACAAGGAAAAUGUUAACCAGCUUUUGUUUUCUCAGGAAAAAGGUUGGUUCGUGCUUCAUUGAGAGUUUGCAUAGCGUCUUAAUUUAAUUGUCCUUCUGUUACUGCAGUUCCUGCUCUUGUUGCUCUGUGCUGACAUGUCGGGUUUGCAUUCAUCACUGCUUAGAAGACCAUGUUGUAAACAUUCUCCCUUUACAUUAAGCACUGGGCAAAGGUAUAUGAAAAUUCAGCAGCUUCAAAACUGUGACAUUUGCAGUCUAAAGAUGUGAAUGAGAGGAGGGGAGGCAGAAAAGAAAGGAUCGUCCUGCUCACAAGUUAUGUAGUGGUGUUGCUCAAAAUAGCACCCCUUGACUCAUGAAUCAAUGGUUAUCUUCAGAGUUAAAUGCCUUUGAGUCACGUGCUGUUCCUACAGCAGGUUGUUCCAAAUACAAGACCAGGCAAGCUUCUUGUUUAUGGUAUUUUCCUGGUGUGGAAUCUGUCACCCUGUAGUCACUGGGGAUGACUGAGUGUAAGGUGAUAAAACUGCCCUCUGCGUGCAACUCAGAUGCAGUGCACACAACCUAUGGGCUCAGGCUGGGACUCCCCAUAGUUUCUUCCCAGCAGAAAAUACUUGUGGUGUCAUUUGGAAAAGUACAUUUCUUCUCCUUUACCCAGCUGUAUCAAAGACUACAGACAUAGGCAAUGAAAAUCUCAGGACACCUGCACCAUGCCUUAGCUCAGCUCUUCCAUCUUCCUGUUGCUGCCUGUCCAUGUUUAAACUAUGCCCACUGACCAGGUUUGAAUCUGGAUUGGAUGCUUGCUGCAUCACAUAGUUUGUGCUGGAUGCAGCCAUUCUGUCCCGAGAGGCAAAGUGCAAAUCUGGACACUUGCCUGUGUCUCAGUUUCUUUGGCUGGCAAUUCCCUUGGCUCCUGGCUGACAGAAGUCAGUUUGUGAGCCAACAAGUUGUCAAGUUUGAGAAGAGGAGAUUCAAUAUGGGCUUGAAACCCAAGAGGGUAUGACAGUAUAGCUAUGGGAUGUCUCACCACUUCCCUCUGCCUUCCAGAGCAUAGAAAUCAUGGUUAUGCCUGAGCAGAACAGAUCUGAUCCUGCAACUAACUUCACAUCACCGUGAAAUUUCCUCUCAUCAUACACAGCUGCUCACAGCUGUCCCAGUGUGGUUAUAUACAGCUUCAUUUUUAUUGCUUUGGGGAAAACUUGGGCUUUCAGACCCUAACAAGCUAUUUGCUUCCCCUUCUCUGUCUCUUCCCACAGCUGACCUCCAUGUCCAGCCGUGCAGGCAUUUUCUGGUUGCAGUGCCCCUAAGCAAUGCCAGCAGGUGCUGUUUCAGCCUCUCCUGCUGCUCUGUAAUUAACAGCCCCAAAUAUGGAGCAGUGGCUGGCCCUGUGACAUUUUUUGCUAAGGCUUUUAUUAAUUUGACACUAGUUUUCAUAGCAACUCACCAGGGAGCUGUAACAAACAUUCAGCUGUACCUGGCAUCAGCUGGUGGGUUUACCUGCUCCAAAGGCUGUACUAAGUGCCCGAGGCGAGCUGAGGUCUGAAUCCUGGGAAACAGUGCAACAGCUGGAUGAAAAAGCUGGAGGAUUGAAGUGGAAAUGUCACAAAUGAAAAGGAUUUGUGUCAUCUUGGGCUCUGUUGUCAUGGUCUAUCAAAACUCCUACAAGCACUGGGAAGACUUGUCGCAUCUUUGUGCUCAGUUGUACUGAGUUAUAGAAUUGUUUGAAACGGAAGGGACUUUUAAAAAUCAUCUAGUCCAAAUGCCCUGGAAUGAACAUGGGCAUCAACAACUGGACCAGAUUUUUUUCCUCUUCUGAAGUAAGCUUUUCUAUUGUCUCAGUGAAAAACUGUUCUGAGUGCCCUUGUGAUCCCUUCAUCCUGCUGUGCCCAUUUCUGGCGUGAACAGACCCUCACAUGGAAAUGUGUGAACUCCUCAAGUUGUUUUUGCUUGGUCAGACACUAUGAUAAUGGCUAUAGCAUACAAGUUUAGUAUUACUUUUUAUGUGUAGGCUUAGACUCUUGGUUUCAUAUGAUAUUAUGCCUUGUCUUGCAAUUUGGUGGCAGUGCUCAUCUCAUGUAAAAUCUGUCUUGAUGAGGAAAAUCCUUCUUUUAAAAAAAUUGAAAUACUUUAUUGGAAUACUUUUGCAUUUACAGGUUGUAUUUUUACCCCAAACUGCAGCCAGGAUCUACUCCAAUUAAAGUACUCAAUCCUCCCCAGAUUGAAUUCUCGCCCCUAGAUAAUUUGCAGCCUCUUCCAUGUUUUCUCGCUUUGUCGUCCCAUUUGCAAGCACUUCCCUCAUCUGUUUCCAUUUCUGUGUGGAACACAAAGGCCUAUCUAUUGUUUCCUUGUUUAAUUGUUAGCCACCUUUGUCUGACGUAACUGGAAACUAUCACAGACGUCACUUUGUUUCCUGCCAGAAAUCGGGCUGCCUCCUACCUGUCUUUGCUGCCUUGCCUGCAGAUACCAAAAGAAAUGCCAUUUAAAUCCUUUAUAGCUGCUGGUUUUCUGGAAAUUAUUAGUCCAGAGGGGACAUUUAGGAACCCCAGAGUUCCUUUCCAGACAGUUCCUGACAGGUCUCCUUGGACAGUCAAUGGCACGUGUUGCUAUGCUGUUAUUCAACAUGAAGGCAUCCUUCAGUGCUACCUGGAGGUUCAGAGUUGUACAGUAUGAGGCUCUGUCCGCCAGUCGAUAUUGUAUAGCAGUCACCAAUUUAUUCCACACCUUCCUUGGAUGGCUCAUUUCUCCCACCCACCUUCUCAAGUUGGCUUUAUGAUACUGAUUGCAGUAUCCAUGUUUUCAGCUUUUCUUGGUUAGUACGUUGGUUCUUUGCCUGGAGAUUUCUCUCCCAAGCGAAAAUAAAUUCCUUUAGCCUCAGGACUUUGCUCAGUGGUGUUCAUCCUCUGGUUCUUGAAUAUAACCCUAAUGGUUUAUGAAAAAAAGAAAAAAAAAAACAGUGAUAGAAUGAGAGGUAAUGGCCUUAAGAUGCACCAGGGAAGGUUCAGAUUCGAUAUUAGGAAAAAUUUCUUUUCAGAAAGA
Molecule: long non-coding RNA, 8569 nt
Organism: Tympanuchus pallidicinctus (lesser prairie-chicken)
Lineage: Eukaryota; Metazoa; Chordata; Aves; Galliformes; Phasianidae
Exons: 3
Source: RefSeq, a predicted model, not a curated record